AGAUUGAACGCUGGCGGUAUGCUUAACACAUGCAAGUCGAACGGCAGCACAGGGUAGCUUGCUAUCCGGGUGGCGAGUGGCGGACGGGUGAGUAACGCGUAGGAAUCUACCUUUUUGUGGGGGAUAACCCGGGGAAACUCGGGCUAAUACCGCAUACGCCCUACGGGGGAAAGCGGGGGACCUUUGGGCCUCGCGCAAAAAGAUGAGCCUGCGUCCUAUCAGGUAGUUGGUGAGGUAAUGGCUCACCAAGGCGACGACGGGUAGCUGGUCUGAGAGGAUAGGCCACGCCACAGUUCGGGACUGA
Molecule: ribosomal RNA, 304 nt
Filed under: uncultured soil bacterium
Lineage: Bacteria
Description: bacterial SSU rRNA
Rfam family: Bacterial small subunit ribosomal RNA
Source: RNAcentral